This 88-nucleotide transfer RNA is filed under the name Ruminococcus sp. Its description in RNAcentral is "tRNA-Ser". It matches the Rfam family "tRNA". From Rfam's summary of the family: Transfer RNA (tRNA) molecules are approximately 80 nucleotides in length. Their secondary structure includes four short double-helical elements and three loops (D, anti-codon, and T loops). Further hydrogen bonds mediate the characteristic L-shaped molecular structure. tRNAs have two regions of fundamental functional importance: the anti-codon, which is responsible for specific mRNA codon recognition, and the 3' end, to which the tRNAs corresponding amino acid is attached (by aminoacyl-tRNA synthetases). tRNAs cope with the degeneracy of the genetic code in two manners: having more than one tRNA (with a specific anti-codon) for a particular amino acid; and 'wobble' base-pairing, i.e. permitting non-standard base-pairing at the 3rd anti-codon position. The record is from RNAcentral. Lineage: Bacteria; Bacillati; Bacillota; Clostridia; Eubacteriales; Oscillospiraceae.
GGAGAAGUAUCGAAGUGGUCAUAACGAGCUUGACUCGAAAUCAAGUGUGUGAGUAAUCGCACCGUGGGUUCGAAUCCCACCUUCUCCG